This is a long non-coding RNA of Empidonax traillii (willow flycatcher), 1848 nucleotides long. RefSeq lists it as uncharacterized. The record is from RefSeq and is a predicted model, not a curated record. NCBI's taxonomy places the organism in Eukaryota, Metazoa, Chordata, Aves, Passeriformes, Tyrannidae. The transcript has 7 exons.
GUGCUAUCAGGCAACAAAAAAAAGACACUUGAAGUAGAAAAUAAUUAAUAAUCUACUUGAGUUUUUAAACACCCUCUGUCAAAUCUCUUCUCCUGCUGUUCACUGCAACUACCAUGGACAGCAAGGAGGUGGCAGGACAGUUGUAAACUGAUCUGUGCCAGGGCUUUACCAGUCGCACAAAGCACUGUUGAGUAACCUCAGGAAUUCUUUCCCUAGUGACUGUCCCCGUGCCUGUGCCCAUCCCUGCUGAAACAACGUGCCUGAGAGGACAGCAGGAGAGAGCUUGCAGAGACGUCCAGAUGCACAGAGCAUCAUGAUGUCUACCCUGAGGACACCUCUUGGAACCAUUUUGUUGCCAGGUUCUUCCUCUUCUGCAGUCCCUCACUUUUAGAGCUUCUUUUGUCAUGUUCAUCUUUUAUGGGUGUCUGUACUCCAGGCUUUGACAGGAGGUUGCUGAGGAUUUGAAAAAACUUUUGGCAGGGCCCUGUGUCACUCAGCACUGGCCAUGAGGAACAAUGCCAGACAUUUGCUGCUGGGAACAAGAGGAAAUCUAUUCAGCUGAGGCCCCUGAAGGCUCACCCGUCCGAACACUCGUCCAGCUUUGCUGCGGAUCAGUUCCAGACUGUCAGGGUUCUUCUUCUGAGGCAUCAGGCUGCUGCCAGAGCUGCAAGGAAGGUGUUUGGAGUGCAAUGUGUGCAACUUCCCAGCUACAUCUCCAAUCAGCUCCUGACAACAAGAGGAGGAUUUCUGUCAGUCUCUCUGCGUUCUAAGCAAGAGACUCCACGAGCAGAUCUCCUCCCUGCCUGGAAGGGACUCAGCUCUAGGAUCCUGCAGAUGCAGCUACAGAGGAACAGGACCAAGAGGAUAGAGAACCCAAACCUUUAGUCUGCGUUCGUUGGCAGUGUGGAUGUCCUCAUCAGUUUGGAUCACGCCAAAGACUCCUUUGGACCAUUCCUCAGAGAUCUACAAACACCAGCAGAAACACCAGUCAGCUGCAACAGUUACCCUGCUGUGUGUGGGGGCUCUAAGGGUCCCCAGCAAAUACCAACUCCUGCCACCCUCAUGAAAACUUAACCCCAAAGUGUUAAGUCUCGUGUGAGCUCUGCUAUUCAGGCCGAGGCUGGCUGCUUGCUGUAUCCUGAUAUUCUGGACUACUGGGAUUCAUCUUUCUUCCCAUGCCAAUCCUGCAGUGUUAUGGCUAUAGGAGGAUUUAAUCAUUGCAAGGAAGAAGUCAGCCAAAACAUCAGUGAUUGCUUUAGCAUUGUCCACCAAGGUUUUCCUGUAAAACAUUGGACAGACUCACCGUUGUCCGUGGUGGGUGAGCAACAACAAUGGGUAUUUUUUAAAAAGCGUUUCGCUGCUGACUCCUCUUCCCCCCUAGACAUUGUCUCCUACCAGAGGGCAGCCACACUCAAAAGGAUCCCCACGUGCCAGCAGGAAAAGAAUGUCCUUACUUCAUACUGAAAGGAUUCCUAGUGAAUGUUAGGUCUGAAGAGGAUGGGACAUGAGGACGUUUAAAGAUGCUCUUUAGAACAGCAACUCAGAUGUUGUCAGGGAGGCUGCAAGAAAAUACUGAGUUGACAAAGAGCUGUGGGCCAGCACAAGCCACAUCCUAUAAAACACUCCUGUACCCAUCCAGUGUGUGAAGUUACCGUUUGAAGAAUCUCCAGAGUCCAUGACGUUCUUGCAAGUUUUGGCAUAAAAUUGAGAUAAAACCGGCAAAGGUGCAGAUUGCAGAAAGGGAGGUCUGUGUGCCUUUCGGUGUCACAAAUGUUAGCGUAAAGUGAAAAAAAAAGAACGAGAAAAAAAGCCCAAAGUACCCCCGGCAGGGCUCGGAAGAUGCGCGGG